GCAGAAUAGAAAAUUUUAUUAAUUAGUCAUAAAUAGUUUCUGGAAAAAAAAUCUUCAGUAAAUUAAUUAAGGAUAUCUUUCAAUCCUGAAGAAUAUUAGAAUGCAGUGCACUUGUAUGGUUGGAUGGAACAUACACUUUUGAACCUAGAAAAUAUCUGAGCUGAAAAGGUAGAGGAUAAAGUCUAGGAAAAGUCUAUGCAGAUUCCAACCUUGAAUCUUCCCACAAGUCCUUGGACAAACGGUAAGAAUCUACCCUUCUUCCCAUUAAUUAAAGCAAGCCUAAAUUGCAGGCACAUAAUUUAAAAAAGGAAUAUUCGCACGAUAAAGAAUUGUAAAACGAACACGCGAGAGGUCCUUUUGUUCCACCACGCAACGAAGUGAAAACGAAGAAUAAGGUCAAGGGGUGAGAGGCUCGAACAGGAAAGCAAUUUACAACACACCGUUGCAGCCUGCAGUUCAGCGAGUGAAAGUCGAUGAUUGCGAUGAAUCGUAUAAUCAUUUUUCAUGCAACCAGAUAGAACGGAUUUGGUGUAAAGUUCAGCACGAAAGGUAUUCCACGAGUUUCGCAUCCCUGGAUCCUUGCUAUUUUAUUCUGGAAACUGGAUACACCAUAUUACCUGCGGUUAAACGGGGCUGUGCCGUGGACACGGCGGUGUAACAUAGAUGGAUCACAAGGACACGAGUACCUGAGGAAACGUACACGCAGAACGUGGUAUCAGAGGAAAGCUUCAGAUCCAUUUGCAGGAUUGAAUAACACACUUUUUGCUACUAUUCCUUGCUUAUAGAAAAGAAAUUUAAUUCCCACAAUGUGGCACGACGAUAGCAGGAAUACAGCUUCAAUGUUAUGAUAACCGGGAAUAACAGGAUAAAUGGAUCUAGAUAUAAAUAUAGAUUUAGAGAUGAGGAAGGUAGAGAUUUAGGGUUGUAGAAAAUUUUAAUAUAGAUCUUGUAUUUGAUGUUUAAUCUUCUGAUGUUGCUGUUAAUGGCAGUAUGUCUACAUGACUAGUCUGACAAGAAAAUUACUAUGAAACAGUUUUGGUAGUUGUGAUGACUUAUGGUUAUCAUUUAUAGUGACUACAGAACGCUAAAUAUUUAAAAGGGUUUCAAGAACAUCGGAAAGGAUUCUAAAAGCUGUGACCUAGUUUAGCCAUUCUAAUCAUCCAACAUUAAUUCCACGAAGUCAAUGUAGGACGACUUAGAUGAGGAACUAGAUCGUGUCCAUCGGUGAAACUGUCUUCGAAGAAUCUCAAGGAUUGCGUUAGAUCAAUGGUUUCGUUUUGUCAUUAAACGAGACAAUUGAAUAAAUAAUUCCUUCAAACGACUGACAUGGUACUAGGAAAAAGGACUCUCGCUAUAUUGCCGCCGACUUGAGGUAGUAGAUAUAUUCCUAAUUAAUACAAGACGAAAGAAAUUGAAUUUUCAAUUCAAUUGUAUAUUUUAUAUUCGUUUCAAUAAAUCUGUAGGAUCGCAGUGUAUUAAAUCAUCCACAUUUUCGCUGUGUCGGGUGCAAGCAACAAUUUUUGCGUAACGCCGUAGAAUUUAUGAAAACAGGACAGAAUUUAUGCAGUGCAUUUAAACGAAACCCAGGGAAAUCUCGUCCCAACUCGUGCUGAAUUAUUAAGCGAAAUUAAAUUUGGUUCAUACCGGUUAGAAUAUUAAUCAAUGGGGUUUAACGCUCAGUUGUUCGGUAAUUAAAUACCCUAGAGAACCGAAACGCAGGGUUUAUUCGAUCGAUAAUGUUGGUACAUUGUUUCAUAGUCAUUUUAAGUAUAAUUAAUAAUAUAACAGUGCAAUCGUAAAGUUGUGCUAUUUACUGUGGUCAUAAACUUGCACUCGGGUAGAAUAUAAAAACCAUGACGGAAUUAAUAUAUAAAAUGAGCGGAUUAAUUAAUACAAUAUUUUCACCCUACAUUUGAUUAGCCCCAUAAAAGGCGUACGUGUCAAUAUAUCCUAACGGACGAAGUAACGCGAGCAGAGGUGAACGCCUGAAAUUGGACACCGGUAAUUACGAUAGGCCGCUUUUAUCGUUGCAUUUCGCCCCGGUUCUACGUGAACGGAAAUUACACCCUCGUAUGGCGCAUCCACGGUUCGUCCUUGCUAGCCACGCGAAUUACCAGGGAUGUUUGCUCAGAGGGACGAUAUACCGCGAGUGUGUGGAACGAACGCUUUGGGGAAAAAAUUCGAACGGAAUGGCGUUGUCGGUUAUAUACCUAGCGGCUAUAUUUGAGUUCACUGACACUUUCGAGCACGCGCGAUAGAUACCGCUUUCGUCUGCUUUCGUGCACGUGUAUUCGUGUUCUUGUUGCCACCGUAUUGGGAGCAUUCUAACAGUAUCGUAAUCAUGGUUAGGCAUAUCUCAUUCGCGCUGCUAACGAGGGAAGCACCUGCAUUGUCCAACUUCGAUUUCGAUCGAUUUUUGUCGGAUGACGACAAAUACAUACCGGGCAUGCAUUUAGAAGCCUUGCUAUGCAACAAGAAACUAGUACAUGUGUUUUUUUUUACUCAUUACGCGUUAAUCACUGCAGUCAUUCGUAAUUGGCGCGAAAUUGUUUUCGUACGUACUUUUCGGUGAUCUUCGGAAAUGUUCGGAUUCUUUCGUUAGCAAUAGCCUGCACUUCGCGCUUUUUUACAUAUAAAAAAAUAAUAGAACAUAAAAGAUAGAAAAGUUAGAAUAUAAAUAUCCUGAGGAAAUCUAGGAAUCUAGAGGAUGUAAGUAGUCGCCCUAUCUUUCCUUAAAUCCGUCACUGGCAGACAGUACAUUUAAAUUUGAAGCGUGAACAUGAAAUUGGAAUAAUUUAGAAACGAUUUAUUUACAUACUGACGUAUUUUACGUAUGCGAUCUGAUCAUGUAUUUUUAGAAACGACCGUAAACUACUCGACAUGAUACACACAUACUGUAAAAAUGGGGAACGGUAUAAUUUUAUCGUCAAUUCGAUAGAGUUCUCAGAAGGCCGCUAUGAAACCGGUUUGCAGCGAACGGUAUGGUGUAUAAGACCAUAUAAAUGCAUCCCUGUCCAAGAUCCUUUUGUGUCAAAAUUUUGGUGCUUAAUUAAGACGCCUCGUGUUACGUUAACCUUUUUUUUCAUGUUAAUUUUAAUUCAUUGUCAUAAAAACAGAUGUUUUGUUUACAAACGCCGUGAUAAUACUCGAUGAAUAUUAAUUCGAAUAUUUAAAAUAAAUAAUUUUAUUACGCCAUUUAAUGAAUUUAUUAUGAUUGCAUCUGCUUUAAAAACUUCACAGAAAUGUAUUACCAAUCGAGUAUUUCCUGGGUCGUGACCUCGAUAUGAAAUACAUAUGUAUAUUACAUUUACAUGUUUAAUUCAACAUGCAUACAGUGCUGUCUUUAAACUUUGCAGUGCCCGACGCAGAAAUCAGUAUUAUUGAGA
This 3386-nucleotide long non-coding RNA is filed under the name Megachile rotundata (alfalfa leafcutting bee). RNAcentral describes it as "uncharacterized LOC105662276, transcript variant X1". Lineage: Eukaryota; Metazoa; Arthropoda; Insecta; Hymenoptera; Megachilidae. The record is from RNAcentral.